AUCAAGAAGAAACAUUUAAGAGAAGAAAAGUGGAGUAGAAAAGGAAAAAUAGAAGUCCUAGCACUAGCAGCGGGACAAUAAAAAUGAAUUUCCAUCAACAAUAUUUAUAGAAAUUUAUCUCAUUUCUUAACAACAAAAUGGAAAAGUUAAAGAAAACAAAGUAACACACACCCGUGACCUGUCAGCUAUUAUACUGAGCUAAGCUAGACAGUGGAUACUCUUCAUUCAUUCAACAAAAGAAAACUGGAUUAAUAUAGAGAAGAAGAAGUCCAUAAAUAUAUAUUUCCAGUCAGUAUUACUUUGCUUAAUCUUCUAUUUAACAAACAAAAAAUGGGGUUUCCAUCAAAUAUCCAAUGAAGCAAACAUAAAAGAACAAGGGGAAAACAAAAAGACAGAAUUUUUGCCCACCCUUAUCAUUUAAUAUCAAAAUAUACGGUCUAAUUCACCAAAUAAAGAUGUG
This 460-nucleotide unclassified non-coding RNA is filed under the name Hevea brasiliensis (rubber tree). Lineage: Eukaryota; Viridiplantae; Streptophyta; Magnoliopsida; Malpighiales; Euphorbiaceae. The record is from RNAcentral.